ACAAACCACAACAACCAGCUCAAAACUAUAAGUUUCAGUGAAAAACGAAACUUAACUGUUCCUUGUCCAGUAUCACUGGCUGUAAAAGGACGCUCAUUACUGCUGCUCUGAUCAACGUGAGCAGAUCAAACACCGAACGCUGAAAAGCUGGGUUGGAAACCCAGCAAGCAAAUCUACUUUUUCUGCAUUCCUCCAGCUGAGGUGAAGGAAACGAUCGCUGACUGAUAAACUCCAACUCCAUCAGGACCUGACUGGGAACGAGCGGAGCCCAUCCCGCUCUCAGAGACGCUAAAUAGAGCUGGUCUGAGCGCAGCACAAACCAUCGAAGCUGCCAAUUCUUCAUGAUACUGCGCUGCUUCUUCAGCCAUCCGGUCUUCAGCGCCCCCUCCUGGAGGCUAGGGGAACCCGGCCGGCAAGAGCCUCGUGACACCUCUCCCAUCACCAUGCUCUUUGACCUGGCUGCGAACACACACAUACAACAACAGCAUGUUUUUCUGGUGUGUAUUCAAUAAAAGUCAUAUAAGGGUGGA
Nothobranchius furzeri (turquoise killifish) is the source of this 530-nucleotide long non-coding RNA. RefSeq lists it as uncharacterized. The record is from RefSeq and is a predicted model, not a curated record. Lineage: Eukaryota; Metazoa; Chordata; Actinopteri; Cyprinodontiformes; Nothobranchiidae.